This 74-nucleotide transfer RNA is filed under the name Mangrovimonas sp. RNAcentral describes it as "tRNA-Ile". It matches the Rfam family "tRNA". From Rfam's summary of the family: Transfer RNA (tRNA) molecules are approximately 80 nucleotides in length. Their secondary structure includes four short double-helical elements and three loops (D, anti-codon, and T loops). RNAcentral also lists the same sequence under 2 other names. Lineage: Bacteria; Pseudomonadati; Bacteroidota; Flavobacteriia; Flavobacteriales; Flavobacteriaceae. The record is from RNAcentral.
GGGCCUGUAGCUCAGUUGGUUAGAGCAUCUGACUCAUAAUCAGAGGGUCGGGGGUUCAAGUCCCUCCGGGCCCA